UACGGAGGGGCUAGCGUUGUUCGGAAUUACUGGGCGUAAAGCGCACGUAGGCGGAUCGGAAAGUUGGGGGUGAAGUCCCGGGGCUCAACCCCGGAACUGCCUUCAAAACUCCCGGUCUUGAGUUCGAGAGAGGUGAGUGGAAUUCCGAGUGUAGAGGUGAAAUUCGUAGAUAUUCGGAGGAACACCAGUGGCGAAGGCGGCUCACUGGCUCGAUACUGACGCUGAGGUGCGAAAGUGUGGGGAGCAAACAGG
RNAcentral lists this ribosomal RNA (252 nucleotides) under uncultured bacterium. RNAcentral describes it as "partial 16S ribosomal RNA". It matches the Rfam family "Bacterial small subunit ribosomal RNA", at positions 524 to 776 of the family's 1533-position model. The record is from RNAcentral.